UACGAAGGACCCGAGCGUUAUCCGGAUUUAUUGGGCUUAAAGGGUGCGUAGGCGGAUUAGUAAGUCAGUGGUGAAAGCCCGUCGCUUAACGGCGGAACUGCCAUUGAUACUGCUAGUCUUGAGUAUGGUUGAGGUGGGCGGAAUGUGUCAUGUAGCGGUGAAAUGCUUAGAUAUGACCCAGAACACCAAGUGCGAAGGCAGCUCGCUAAGCCAUAACUGACGCUGAGGCACGAAAGCGUGGGGAGCAAACAGG
RNAcentral lists this ribosomal RNA (253 nucleotides) under uncultured bacterium. RNAcentral describes it as "partial 16S ribosomal RNA". It matches the Rfam family "Bacterial small subunit ribosomal RNA", at positions 524 to 776 of the family's 1533-position model. The record is from RNAcentral.